ACGACCGUACCGCAAACCGACACUGGUGCGCGAGAUGAGUAUUCUAAGGCGCUUGAGAGAACUCAGGAGAAGGAACUCGGCAAAUUGACACCGUAACUUCGGAAGAAGGUGUGCCUUUAGUAGGUGAACCUGUACAAGGGGAGCCCAAUGAGGUUGCAAAAAAUCGGUGGCUGCGACUGUUUAAUAAAAACACAGCACUCUGCAAACACGAAAGUGGACGUAUAGGGUGUGACGCCUGCCCGGUGCUGGAAGAUUAAAUGAUGGGGUGCAAGCUCUUGAUUGAAGUCCCAGUAAACGGCGGCCGUAACUAUAACGGUCCUAAGGUAGCGAAAUUCCUUGUCGGGUAAGUUCCGACCUGCACGAAAGGCGUAACGAUGGCCACACUGUCUCCUCCUGAGACUCAGCGAAGUUGAAAUGUUUGUGAUGAUGCAAUCUCCCCGCGGAAAGACGGAAAGACCCCAUGAACCUUUACUGUAGCUUUGUAUUGGACUUUGAACAGAUCUGUGUAGGAUAGGUGGGAGGCUUUGAAGUGUGGUCGCUAGACCGCAUGGAGCCAACGUUGAAAUACCACCCUGGUGUGUUUGAGGUUCUAACCUAGGCCCGUAAUCCGGGUCGGGGACAGUGCAUGGUAGGCAGUCUGACUGGGGCGGUCUCCUCCCAAAGCGUAACGGAGGAGUUCGAAGGUACGCUAGGUACGGUCGGACAUCGUGCUAAUAGUGCAAUGGCAUAAGCGUGCUUAACUGCGAGACUGACAAGUCGAGCAGAUGCGAAAGCAGGACAUAGUGAUCCGGUGGUUCUGUAUGGAAGGGCCAUCGCUCAACGGAUAAAAGGUACUCUGGGGAUAACAGGCUGAUACCGCCCAAGAGUUCAUAUCGACGGCGGUGUUUGGCACCUCGAUGUCGGCUCAUCUCAUCCUGGGGCUGUAGCCGGUCCCAAGGGUAUGGCUGUUCGCCAUUUAAAGAGGUACGUGAGCUGGGUUUAAAACGUCGUGAGACAGUUUGGUCCCUAUCUUCCGUGGGCGCUGCAGAUUUGAGGAAGCCUGCUCCUAGUACGAGAGGACCGGAGUGGACUCACCUCUGGUGUAUCGGUUGUCACGCCAGUGGCAUUGCCGAGUAGCUAUGUGUGGAAGAGAUAACCGCUGAAAGCAUCUAAGCGGGAAACUCGUUUCAAGAUGAGAUCUGCCGGGGCCUUGAGCCCCCUAAAGAGUCGUUCAAGACCAGGACGUUGAUAGGUCGGGUGUGGAAGCGCAGUAAUGCGUUAAGCUAACCGAUACUAAUUGCUCGUGCGGCUUGACC
This 1295-nucleotide ribosomal RNA is filed under the name metagenome. RNAcentral's name for it is "bacterial LSU rRNA". It matches the Rfam family "Bacterial large subunit ribosomal RNA", at positions 1638 to 2925 of the family's 2925-position model. The record is from RNAcentral.